AGAGUUUGAUCAUGGCUCAGGACGAACGCUGGCGGCGUGCCUAAUACAUGCAAGUAGAACGCUGAAGAGAGGAGCUUGCUCUUCUUGGAUGAGUUGCGAACGGGUGAGUAACGCGUAGGUAACCUGCCUUGUAGCGGGGGAUAACUAUUGGAAACGAUAGCUAAUACCGCAUAACAAUGGAUGACACAUGUCAUUUAUUUGAAAGGGGCAAUUGCUCCACUACAAGAUGGACCUGCGUUGUAUUAGCUAGUAGGUGAGGUAAUGGCUCACCUAGGCGACGAUACAUAGCCGACCUGAGAGGGUGAUCGGCCACACUGGGACUGAGACACGGCCCAGACUCCUACGGGAGGCAGCAGUAGGGGAUCUUCGGCAAUGGGGGCAACCCUGACCGAGCAACGCCGCGUGAGUGAAGAAGGUUUUCGGAUCGUAAAGCUCUGUUGUAAGUCAAGAACGGGUGUGAGAGUGGAAAGUUCACACUGUGACGGUAGCUUACCAGAAAGGGACGGCUAACUACGUGCCAGCAGCCGCGGUAAUACGUAGGUCCCGAGCGUUGUCCGGAUUUAUUGGGCGUAAAGCGAGCGCAGGCGGUUUGAUAAGUCUGAAGUUAAAGGCUGUGGCUCAACCAUAGUUCGCUUUGGAAACUGUCAAACUUGAGUGCAGAAGGGGAGAGUGGAAUUCCAUGUGUAGCGGUGAAAUGCGUAGAUAUAUGGAGGAACACCGGUGGCGAAAGCGGCUCUCUGGUCUGUAACUGACGCUGAGGCUCGAAAGCGUGGGGAGCGAACAGGAUUAGAUACCCUGGUAGUCCACGCCGUAAACGAUGAGUGCUAGGUGUUGGAUCCUUUCCGGGAUUCAGUGCCGCAGCUAACGCAUUAAGCACUCCGCCUGGGGAGUACGACCGCAAGGUUGAAACUCAAAGGAAUUGACGGGGGCCCGCACAAGCGGUGGAGCAUGUGGUUUAAUUCGAAGCAACGCGAAGAACCUUACCAGGUCUUGACAUCCCGAUGCUAUUUCUAGAGAUAGAAAGUUACUUCGGUACAUCGGUGACAGGUGGUGCAUGGUUGUCGUCAGCUCGUGUCGUGAGAUGUUGGGUUAAGUCCCGCAACGAGCGCAACCCUUAUUGUUAGUUGCCAUCAUUCAGUUGGGCACUCUAGCGAGACUGCCGGUAAUAAACCGGAGGAAGGUGGGGAUGACGUCAAAUCAUCAUGCCCCUUAUGACCUGGGCUACACACGUGCUACAAUGGUUGGUACAACGAGUUGCGAGUCGGUGACGGCGAGCUAAUCUCUUAAAGCCAAUCUCAGUUCGGAUUGUAGGCUGCAACUCGCCUACAUGAAGUCGGAAUCGCUAGUAAUCGCGGAUCAGCACGCCGCGGUGAAUACGUUCCCGGGCCUUGUACACACCGCCCGUCACACCACGAGAGUUUGUAACACCUGAAGUCGGUGAGGUAACCUUUUGGAGCCAGCCGCCUAAGGUGGGACAGAUGAUUGGGGUGAAGUCGUAACAAGGUA
Molecule: ribosomal RNA, 1506 nt
Filed under: metagenome
Description: bacterial SSU rRNA
Rfam family: Bacterial small subunit ribosomal RNA
Source: RNAcentral